UUACUCUGACUUCUCUUCAGAUCGUAUAAAUCUUUCGCCUUUUACUAAAGGUUUCCAUGGAGAGGCUCAAUAAGAGUUUUAACUAAUUUUUUUAUGCCAUGUUUAAUGCAGGGCU
This is a small nuclear RNA of Sebastes umbrosus (honeycomb rockfish), 115 nucleotides long. RefSeq annotates it as U5 spliceosomal RNA. The record is from RefSeq and is a predicted model, not a curated record. The transcript has a single exon. Lineage: Eukaryota; Metazoa; Chordata; Actinopteri; Perciformes; Sebastidae.